Melopsittacus undulatus (budgerigar) is the source of this 958-nucleotide long non-coding RNA. RefSeq lists it as uncharacterized. The record is from RefSeq and is a predicted model, not a curated record. Lineage: Eukaryota; Metazoa; Chordata; Aves; Psittaciformes; Psittaculidae. The transcript has 3 exons.
CUCAACUGUAGUAAUUCAGUGCAGGGGAAUUUCCACAUUACCAGAUGUAAACUGUUCUUGUAUGAUCUACUUGCUUAUUUUACUUUAAAGUUCAAUUUACGGGAAUUCAUGUUCUAAUACGUUUUCUAAAGGACAAAGGUGAGCUUUGCUGGUGAAAGUUUAGCAGAGUUUUAAAUAUUUAAAAUUUACAAAUAAACCUAGGAAAAUACAAAGUGGCAUUUUUUUUUUGAAGUCUCGCAUACCCAUAAUUGUGGAGAAAACUUCUUACCAUCGUUUUUAGGUGCUUUUUCAGAACAUUUCUCUGGAGAAGCUUGCUCAACUUGAGUUCCAGUGGCGGGAUCUAGUGUUGCAUAAAACUUGUAAUUUAAAACUGUGAAUACACUGCAUCUUUCUGUUUCCAUUUGUAGGAAACCAGCUCUGUCCAUGUUUUCUUUGCCUCAACUGUCCAUUUGCAUCUCACCUUCCCCGGCACCUGGAGAAGAUCAUAACAGUACCUGAAGAAGAUCAGAGCAGAGCCUGGAGAAGAUCAGGACAGAGCCAGACACAUGUCAUAUUACCACUCGGAGAUCUGAGAGACCUCUGAAUUAGGAAACCUACCACUUCAUUUGUUCUCCACCUUCACUACAGUGUGAUGCACACCAGCCCUUCAGCUUUUCUUCUUGCUGUGUGACCUCAUGGAUAUAUAAUUCUCAUGGUUCAAAACCAUAUAAAAAAAAAGUAGUUUGAAAGGGUUCACUACCACAGGUUUGGGUUAACCUUGAUCAUUUCAGUGCAACAGUGGGAUUAGAAACAUAGAGAUUUAUGGAAAGAUCCAAGACCCCUCAAAGCUUCUGGCUUGGAGCUAUCUGUUAUUUGAAGGGAAGCCUGAAGAAGAGGAGGGACCUCGUACCAAAUCCCCCCCUGCAUCACUCAGGAAAAAAGGCUCAUAGAAAUCUUCAAGAGCCAAACGGUGAAGUGG